Long non-coding RNA from Nilaparvata lugens (brown planthopper), 2352 nucleotides. RefSeq lists it as uncharacterized. Lineage: Eukaryota; Metazoa; Arthropoda; Insecta; Hemiptera; Delphacidae. The record is from RefSeq and is a predicted model, not a curated record. The transcript is spliced from 7 exons.
CAUUUUUCUAAAAAUCUGUUCAAUCAGCUCCUUUUACUAAUUUAAUUUAUUUUCUAAUUUCAAAUAAUCAGUGCAGCAUGGAAUCAAAUCAUUGAAAUUUCGUUAUCGAGACAACUUAAUCUCCUGAUACCUGAUUCUCGACAGCUUCAUAUAAAAAUAAUACGGAGCAAGCAGAAAACCUUUAAAUCACGGAGCAAGCAGAAAACCUUUAAAUCACGGAGCAAGCAAAAGACCUUCAUGAUGUGAAACUAGAGCUGAUAGUGUUGGCAUCAUUCACCUGAACAUCAUAUCUGUUAGUGAACUGUUUCAGAUACCAGUUAUCUAACAGAAACAUAGUAAAGAGAGAAGGAUGAUGUCAUCUAUAAAGUGCACUCACCUAGUCCGCCAAACUCGUUCUUCACAAUAUCCUUGAGUUGAGCAACUUCCAAGCUUUGCCACAGGCGAUCGUCGGAGUACUUCCCUUCUAAAUCCAGGACAUGUUAUGAUGGGUGAAACGAACCUGACAGUUCCACUGAAUAGUAUGACGUCUUGCGGUAUGACAGCUAGCUGGGACCGCAGUUGACAGAGAGGCACCGCGGUCAGGUUGACUCCGUCUAUCAAGAUGGCGCCGUCACUGACCGGAACCACGCCCAGGAGUGACAUCACCAGUGAUGACUUGCCACUGCCUGUACGGCCGCACACUCCCACCUUUCAAUUAUAAUUCUCAGUGGGCUCUGCCGUGGUGCGUGAGACCCUCUCGACGGCUCCCAUGCACGCCUCCACGUCCGAGAGGAACUUGACGACCCAGUUGAGGUAGAUGGGCACGAGGAGGGUGUAGUUGACCGCCAGGCCGACCAGCGCCGGUGACACCGGGAACAGGGAGGCUGUCACGCACGACACCACCAUCGCCAGCAACACUAUCAUUGCGCCCAGUAUCGGUUGAAAAUCGGCUGAUGAGUGUACCCAAAGGAGUGCACUGAAAGUGUUGCAGCGGCACUCGGAGCAACUGUUGCAGCAUGUUGCGAUGCAAAGUGUCGCGGGCACGUGACGCACAAAACUGCCCCACUCCGUUGGAGAGCAGAGACAGCACCACUGACACCAGAGACAGUCCCGUGUACACCAGCAGGUGAGAUCACAGCUUACUUGGUCAUUGGACGAGUUGUGGCUGGCCCAAUUGGACAACCAGAAAUCGGUGCCGACGCGAAGUCCCUGCCAAGCGACAGUGGAGAUGAGAUAAGCGACGCACAGCAUCUUACCGCAGGCACUCGCGUAGGUGGCGUACACUCGAUCUGCUAUCUCACCGUAGGCUCGCUCUUCUUGGCUCAGAUUUGAUUUGAUUUGCUGAUGACUUACUGAUGAGCGCCCAGUACAGAGAAUCCUGAUCAAGUCGUUUCAGCUCAUCUCCGCGUGUCUUCAGUAUGCGACUGCAGAAAGAAUCCUCCCAAGCGUGCAGCUUCACCAGUCGUAUGCCUUGCAAUACCUCAUUGGUUUGCCAUAGACGCCGGUCAGUACACUCCUAAAAAGUUAAUACGAUUAAAUACUCGUAUUACAAGGUGCUGAUAUAUUCGAAUUUGAACGAAGACAAAUCUAAAUAACCAGCCGCCUUACAAUCAAAAUCUGACAAUGCUUGUUGAAAAUAAUAGUAGUUGGCGAAAGAAGGGAAAAGCUGGAUAAAAUGCAUUCCGCCUCUCACAACAGUGGCUUUAGUUGGUGAAAAGUCAUGUCGGGUGUUUCGUCUUAAUCCAGUAAUCUAACUUAAUCCGAAUAGUCCAAUGAUCCUAUGCAAUAAUGUUAGGAAAAUUGCGGUGAUUGGUGAGCCCAUUAUAGAUUUCAAUAGGCUAAAUACUUCAAAUCAUGAGAUACUUAUAUAUUUUUGAACAAGGGACUUGAAAAUUUUACUUACUGUGAUCUUCUUAGUGUUAGUGGACAUCCACUUGCCAAUGAUGAACUGUAGUGGAGUGAGAAGAGCUACACAUGACACCGCUCCAAUCACAGCACUGAUACCCAGUUGACGAUACACCAACCAAAUUAGGAUGAUCACCUGGAAAGUAUUUCAAUCUGUGUGUAAAGUGUAAAAAUAAUAAUUCAUUCACAAUAGUUGAGUACAGUAUCAAAUGUGUGUACAUUACCAUUCAUCAAUGAUAACAUCGACACCGCACUAACAUCCACUGAGCAGUUGAUUAUACACUAACCAGAUUAGGAUGAUCACCUGUGAAUUAUUUUAUUUGUUAGUUAUCCAUUUAAAAUAAUCAAAUAUAUCAAAAGUUUUUGUACUUUACCCUUCAUCAAUCCUUUCCGUCAUUCAUUAUCUAUACUAUAAUAAUGGAAAUAACAGGCUUAUACACGUACGGGUUAGGAAAUUCACGAAUGACG